CUUUGUCUCCUUGAGCUUCUGCUUGUCGUUAUCUCAGGUAUCUGUUCAUUUCCUAUUUCCUUCUUUCAAUUCAAAUUUUCUUCGAAUAUGCUUAAUUUGUUUAAACAAUUACUCUGGAGUGAAAUUUCAGUAUUUGUUUUGUUAUGUUUUUGAGUUCAACAAUAAUCUGUUUGAAUGUUGAGAAAUCGCAAGGAAAUUUGAAAUUCGGGAUCAUCGGGCUAAGAGAUUGGAUUUGAGUGUCGUAUUUCUGUGGAGAAGAAGACUUGAGUUUGUUUACAUUUUCGUUAUUUUC
Molecule: long non-coding RNA, 292 nt
Filed under: Manihot esculenta (cassava)
Lineage: Eukaryota; Viridiplantae; Streptophyta; Magnoliopsida; Malpighiales; Euphorbiaceae
Description: long non-coding RNA (MESC_LNC002999)
Source: RNAcentral